ACCUGAGCUUGCAUUCUACCUCAAAAGCAGUUGGGGAAGCCAGAGCCAAGCCCCUCUCCACCUACGUCCUGAAUUUCCCUCAGUCUAAGGCUGGGGGUGAGGCCGAGGACCUCUAAAUCCGCAAACACACCAAAAUACCCACCCAUACGCAUACACACCCACACUCUGUUCCCCCUCUGAAACCUGGAAUCACUCCUGCCUGCCCCACCCAGCUCCACCCACCCUGGCUAGGCAGGUUCUGUAGAGACCUGCUCCGCUGUCUCUCUGGCACCCCCACCCCCAUCCCAGCUCCCAGAAGGUACCUGCCCCCCAACACAGCACACAAAAGCAGACACGUGUGCACAUUCAUGUCCCAUAGCACCCCAUUCCCUAGCCUUCCCCAGACCCAUUCCUAGUCCGUCUUGAAGAGAACACUGGGGGUGGAAAGGCUGCAGGAGAAAAGGUGAGUAAUGCCCCUGGCAUCUGUCCCAGGUGGGGGCCGGCGGGAAGACGGGACACUAAGCUGGUGGGAAGGCAACCAGGGCUUCUGGAUUCUCCAUUUAAUUUUUACCAACAGGCAGGCCCCACAAUUUCCACCACCAGGCUUUGAGCUGCUUCCUCCCUUGGCCUAGGCAGAGAACUGGCCCGUACCUGCCCACCAGAAAACAGGGGAAUUACUCAAGUGCAAGAUUAAAGGCAAUAAUGAGCAAUCAGACCGAACUGGAAUGACAGUAGGGGAAGGUGAAGAGACUUUGGGAAAAGGAAGAGCACUGAAGUCAGACCUGGCACAGCCUUUUACGAGCUAUGUAAUCUCAGGUGGGGUUCCCUGGGAAGUGGAUUCCUGAACUCUGAGAUCGUAUACAGGAGAGUGCCAGCAGGAGAGUUCUUGAGAACACCUGUGAGGUGUGAGGGAAGCUGCAAUAAGCCGAGAGAGAAACUGAAAAGCAAUGCAAUGGCAACAGAGGCUUCUGUCCAUCCCAUGGGGGCUCUCAAGCUGGGAUAACUUUGUAACCCCACAUCAACCAGUCAUUGCCCUAGGGAAAGAGCAACACCUCAGGCAAGGCGGCUUUCUUCCUCCAAAGGCAAUUCCUGGAGAGGGACUCAGCUGUGAGUCAACACUUCCACAGCUGGAGAAGUGAGUGGAGCACACCACAGAAUUCACUGUACGUAUCUCAUGGUCUUCAAAACCCAGCUCAGAGUUUACCGGCUGCCUUCCUCACCAACACCCUCUCUCAGGUAAUCACUCGCUUCCUUGCAGAUGCCUCUCACUGUUGGGAAACUGAUAUGUUUACAUGCCUGUCUCCCAUACUCCCUCCCAAGUAGGUGGUGGGGAGGGCCUGAUCCUGUAUUUCAGAAUCCAGAACAGUGCCCGGUAUACAUUGGCUAUUCCAUAAAGGCAUGCUGCACUGAAUAAAUUGAAAUCAACCAAUGAAAGAGGUAGCUACAAGCUUAUAAAAGAAGGAGGCUGGAGUUUAAUGCUAGAAAGGAUAAAAGGGACAUAGACAGUAGAGAUUCUCACUUGGGAACCACACUGGAGACCCUGCUUGGGAGGCCCAAGAGUCCCAGGUUAGAGCGAAUCAAGGCUCUGAGCUUGGGAUGUCCAAAGAGGGGCAGGAGCCAGAACAAAACCUGUAACCUAUAAAUAGCCAUAGGUUAUAGCUCAUGGAGCUGGGAGACAAAGGUAAAACUUCAAGGGGAGAACGGGCUUCUAGGAAAGAGGAAAUUCGACAGCUCCCUCUCCUUGCUCCAUACCUGCCAGCUGUCACUCAGACUCCUAUAUUAAAAAGAGCACACACACAAAAAAGUACACAGAUAUACACGUGUUCAAAAACCACAGAAUCAGGUAAGCACGCCCAGAUACAGAACACACACAUAACACAGACACACAAUACAUGAAACAGACACAGACCAGAAAAAAAUCAAUCUGAAAAUUAUAGGCCAUAAUAUAUGUAAAUGAACCACCUAUGAAUUCUAAACUCUGUUUACCCCUAGUCAGCCUUCAAGCCUCCUUCACCUUCCAGAAAUCUCUGACAAGUAGAGAAUUCCAGAUUGCAGAAUUGCAAUUCCUUCGUCCUUUGUCCCCAGUCAGGUCAUUUCUUCUCUUUUUCAGGCUCUCAGCAGCUCCUAGCUAGGGAUAGGGAAGAGGGAAAAUGUUUCUGCUAGUAGCCAGCAGGGGACAGUGUUCAACAAGCAAUAAUCAAAUCAGCCUUCAACUUGCUGAAGGGAGGGAAUGGAGGACGAGGGAACCAGAAAAGGGUCCUCAGACCAACACAUUGCUCUGAUCACACCCUCGAUCCAUGUCUCCCUCUUUUUUUUCUGCUUCUUCAGCCCCCUUCUUCUCCUCAGCUGCAGUUUCUCCAUCCUUAGUUUAGUAGAUCUCAUGGAUUGUCUAUUUGCUCAGAGAAGACUAAGCUCAGGAAUUUCCCCCUCAGGGAGAGACAUUCCCCUUAGCCUCUUGUCCCUUUCCAUUCUGUCUUGGUUCCCAAGGUGGUCAGGACUUCGGAGUUUUCAUCUGGACUCCUGACCAAUGCUCAGGAACCCACAUGAGGGGCUCAGUUCCAGGGCCACCUCUCAGGGGAUGCUUGCAUCCUGGUGCACAGCUGGUCUAGUAGAAGUGGGGUUGGGUGUCAGGCCCCUGCACUGCCCUUAGCCUGGUGCUUUGUAAAGUGCACAAACUGUAUGACAGUACAGUUGACCCUGCUACUUACUGCCCCUGAGAUAGCAUCUGAUGAGCGUUUCCGGUGUUGAACACUUUCACGAUGAUCUCAUUUAAUCCUCAUCACACCCCGGUGGGUCUUGUUGUCUUUCCUGCUUUCCAUAUGAAAAAGCUGUUGCUCAGGGAGGGCAUGCGGUUUGCUCACUGUGGCACAAAGGGGAAAGGUGGAGACAGAGCAGGGACACGGGACCUCUGGCUGCCGGGUGUGGGCUUUCUCCCCUCUAGCACAGUGUUGCUGCACUGCCACCACUGCCUCCCUUCUUCCACUCCCUCUCAGCCUUUCAGGCUCAUCUCUGCUUGCUCCCUUCUCCUCCCUGCGCUGACAUCCCAGCACUGUGAGCCUCUUUCUUCUGCCCAUAAUCCUCAUCCAAUGAGAGGUCAAAAGCUCAGGAAAGAACACAAGAAGAAAGCAGAAAGAUAAAGGAACUGGGUGGUAGAAAGGGCUUUCCAGAAAGAGGAAGAAGCAAAGGCAAAGAAGACAGGGCCUGCACUGGGGGUGGAGAGGGAAGGGAGGUGGGUGGAAUGAGGAAGCGGAGCACCCUCCACACUGUGCCCAGACUUGGGAAAGGGCACAGACAGGGCCUCCAUUGUGUGGGCACAAAGAGGCCAUAUGCCUGGCAGCCUAUGACAGUGUGUGUGUGUGCGCGUGUGUGUG
RNAcentral lists this long non-coding RNA (3350 nucleotides) under Homo sapiens (human). RNAcentral describes it as "HSALNT0296158". The record is from RNAcentral. Lineage: Eukaryota; Metazoa; Chordata; Mammalia; Primates; Hominidae.